CGGGGGAUAACUAUUGGAAACGAUAGCUAAUACCGCAUAAGAGUUUUUAACACAUGUUAGAAAUUUAAAAGGAGCAAAUGCUUCACUAGGUAGAUGGACCUGCGUUGUAUUAGCUAGUUGGUAAGGUAGCGGCUUACCAAGGCGACGAUACAUAGCCGACCUGAGAGGGUGAUCGGCCACACUGGGACUGAGACACGGCCCAGACUCCUACGGGAGGCAGCAGUAGGGAAUCUCGGCAAUGGGGGGAACCCUGACCGAGCAACGCCGCGUGAAGUGAAGAAGGUUUUCGGAUCGUAAAGCUCUGUUGUAAGAGAAGAACGUUGAGUAGAGUGGAAAGUUACUCAAGUGACGGUAUCUUACCAGAAAGGGACCGGCUAACUACGUGCCAGCCGCCGC
This 396-nucleotide ribosomal RNA is filed under the name uncultured bacterium. RNAcentral describes it as "bacterial SSU rRNA". It matches the Rfam family "Bacterial small subunit ribosomal RNA", at positions 137 to 518 of the family's 1533-position model. The record is from RNAcentral.